Cyprinodon tularosa is the source of this 2193-nucleotide long non-coding RNA. RefSeq lists it as uncharacterized. NCBI's taxonomy places the organism in Eukaryota, Metazoa, Chordata, Actinopteri, Cyprinodontiformes, Cyprinodontidae. The record is from RefSeq and is a predicted model, not a curated record. The transcript has 2 exons.
UGUGUCAUCAGGGUGAACAGCAGGGGGCUCAGGAAGCAGCCCUGAGGGGAGGGGCUUAGACUGACGACAUCAGAGCUGUUCUGUCCGACCCAGACCCCGGAGGUCCGUCUCUGAGGAAGUCUAGUGCCCCCCCCCCCGCUCAAUAAACAACCAACGCUUAGCCAACGACCUGAAUAUCUUCUACUGUUGUUUCGACAGACAAAAGGACAGUCCUGCAACCACCCCCCCAUUGUUCCCUCCACCCACCUCAGUGACAUCUCUUUCCAUAAAUGAGAGAGAUGUUAAUAAACUCUUCAGAAGACAGAACCUCAGGAAAGCUGCCAAACCAGAUUCUGUCUCUCCAUCUACCUUGAAGCUCUGUAUUGUUCAGCUGUCUCCAGUGUUGACGGAAAUUUUUAACACCUCACUUUCAACAUGUCACGUACCAUCCUGCUUCAAAUCCUCCAUUAUUAUUCCUGUUCUCAAGAAGCCAAGGUCCACAGGACUUAAUGACUUUAGACCAAUCGCCCUGACCUCUGUGGUUAUGAAGUCCUUUGAGAAUCUUGUUCUUUCACACCUGAAAGAAAUCACUGGCCCCCUCCUGGACCCCCUAUAGUUUGCCUACAGAGCCAACGGGUCUGCAGACAAUGCCGUCAACAUGGCCCUCGACUACAUCCUCCAGCACCUGGAUUUCACAGCUACCUACGCCAGGAUCCUUUUUUUGAUAUUCAGCUCUGCCUUUAGUCUAAUCAUCUCAGCUCUGAUUCAGGAGAAGCUCUCCCAGCUGAGUGUGCCUGACUCCACCUGCAGGUGGAUGACAGACUUCCUUUCUCACAGGAAGCAGCAGGUGAAGCUGGGAAACAUGUCUCCUCCUCCCAGCUCAUCAUCACUGGUUCCAUCCAGUGAUUUGUUCUUUCUCCUCUGCUCUUCUCCCUGAACACCAACAGCUGCACCUCCAGGCAUCAGUCUGUCAAGCUUCUGAAGUUCGUGGACGACACCCCUCUCAACGGACUUAUCUCUGAUGGUGACGAGUCUGCCUGCAGGUGGGAGGUUGACCAUCUGGUGACCUGGAGCAGGGAGAACAACCUGGAGCUCUAAAAAUAGUGAGGACUUCAGGAAGAACUCACCCCCAGCUACCUCCAUCACCCUCUGGGAGUCCACUCUUGACACUGUGGAGUAUUUCUGCUUCCUGGGAACGAUCAUCUCACAGGACCUAAAGUGGGAGCUGAACAUCAACUCCCUCACCAAGAAAGCCCAGCAGAAGAUCUACUUCCUGCGGCAGCAAAAAUAAUUCAAACUGUCAAGGACAAAUGAUGGUGCACUUCUACUUCUCCAUCACCUCCUCCAUCCUCACCUCCUCCAUCUCCAUCUGGUAUGCUGGGGCCACCGCCAAGGACAGAAUGCAGCGCAGUGUUAAUUUCGUCAACCAUAACGAUGAAAUAUUUCGUCAAUGCACAAAAUUGAUUCCAGAACAUAAAAAUAUGACGAAAAUAAAAAAGGAUUUUCAUCAACGAGACUAAGACAGACUAGAUCUACGAUCCAUGGAUGAAUGGACAUUAAGAAAUGUAAUUGUUUAUAAUAAAUUUAUAAUUGUUAAUAUGAGUGUUUCUUAAACUUCAUAGAAGAUUACGCGUUGUUGCCUUGUUUGUCCCACACGGCGCCUGUCCCACAGUCUCUCUCGCCGCUCAGUCAGUACUAGCAGAGGACUUACACUCAUAGCUCAACUCCGCAGUCAUUGCGGAUACCGGUGUGUGGUUUGUUAAACAACACAUUGAUGUAUGGAGCCAUUUAGUUUACAACGCAAAGGAAAACACCGGAGGAAGGACGCCACCAAAUAGUCUGCAGCCUCAACAUGGCAGAGAAGAACACAGCGAAUGUCCAACGACAUCUAAGAAAACAUGGUGCCAUAUGGAAGAAGAUUUCUGACACAGUGACGCCACAGCCAGAUCAGAGGUUGGGGAAGGAAGGGAACUCUGGGUCAGAGAUGCCCCCCCACCCCUGACUCCAAAGAGCAGAAAGCCCUGGAGAACUCAAUGGCAAAGUGGAAUGGGUGUUCUGGUCUGCCUGCAAGGACCAUUGAGGAUGAAGACUUUAUGCAUAUGAUGAAACAAGCCGACUAAAGGUUCAAUGUGUGCAGUGGGAUAUAUGUUAAAAAGAGAAUCAGUGUGUGAAGAAGUUCUAUUCUGCAGUGUUAUAUAAAUAAAAUAGAGAAAA